ACGGAGGGGGUUAGCGUUGUUCGGAAUUACUGGGCGUAAAGCGCACGUAGGCGGAUCAGAAAGUAAGGGGUGAAAUCCCAGGGCUCAACCCUGGAACUGCCUCUUAAACUCCUGAUCUAGAGUUCGAGAGAGGUGAGUGGAAUUCCGAGUGUAGAGGUGAAAUUCGUAGAUAUUCGGAGGAACACCAGUGGCGAAGGCGGCUCACUGGCUCGAUACUGACGCUGAGGUGCGAAAGUGUGGGGAGCAAACAGG
This 252-nucleotide ribosomal RNA is filed under the name uncultured bacterium. RNAcentral's name for it is "partial 16S ribosomal RNA". It matches the Rfam family "Bacterial small subunit ribosomal RNA", at positions 525 to 776 of the family's 1533-position model. The record is from RNAcentral.